AACCGCCGCAUACGGAACCGUAUGUGCGGUGGUGUAAGAGGACGGCGGCUGCAAAGCCGCCUCCUACUCGAU
Molecule: unclassified non-coding RNA, 72 nt
Filed under: Pseudomonas reinekei
Lineage: Bacteria; Pseudomonadati; Pseudomonadota; Gammaproteobacteria; Pseudomonadales; Pseudomonadaceae
Source: RNAcentral